This 380-nucleotide ribosomal RNA is filed under the name uncultured eukaryote. RNAcentral describes it as "partial 18S ribosomal RNA". It matches the Rfam family "Eukaryotic small subunit ribosomal RNA", at positions 592 to 976 of the family's 1831-position model. The record is from RNAcentral.
CAAUAGCGUAUAUUAAAGUUGUUGCGGUUAAAAAGCUCGUAGUUGGAUUUCUGCUGAGAACGACCGGUCCGCCCUUUGGGUGUGUAUCUGGCUCUUUCUUGGCAUCUUCUUGGUGAACGUUGCUGCACUUGACUGUGUGGAGCGCUACCCAGGACUUUUACUUUGAGGAAAUUAGAGUGUUUCAAGCAGGCAUAUGCCUUGAAUACAUUAGCAUGGAAUAAUAAGAUAGGACCUCGGUUCUAUUUUGUUGGUUUCUAGAGCUGAGGUAAUGAUUAAUAGGGAUAGUUGGGGGCAUUCGUAUUUAACUGUCAGAGGUGAAAUUCUUGGAUUUGUUAGAGACGGACUACUGCGAAAGCAUUUGCCAAGGAUGUUUUCAUUGA